GAAUGGUUGAAUUUCCAUCCUUCUAAUCCAUUAGCAGUUGUAUUUGCCAUUAGCAGCUAUAUCUGGACGAGUCUCGACAUCUUCAUGUUCUAAAUAGAGUUAGAGGGUCGGGUUGACGCUUUCUCAGCACAAAGAAACCUCAAAGUCCGACUCAACUCAUCCCUCCAACUCCCUGAGUAUGGAGUACUCGCAUCACGUUCAAGCUAGCAAGAAUGAUACUCCAAUCACAGCUACAAGGGUCAGCAAUGUGGAUGUUAUUUUCUCACGGCCGGAAAGUAGGUAUUCAACUAACCAGUCCAAUGUGGUUGUUUCCAUGCAAGGCACUAGUGGCAUUGUCUACUAUGGAAAUAGCCCGGUGAGAACUCAUAAUGUGCAAGGCUCCCAACAGCUAGGCAAUUCAUCCUUAGCUUCGUUAUUUCAGUUUUAGUGGUUUUGUGCUAAAAAUUCUCGACUAAUAGAUUAAUUUAUAUAGGUUGGACGUAAAUAUUAGAUAUGUUUGAGAGGUUCUAGAUUUCGGUUGGGUGAUAUUAAGUUUGUUAACUCAAAAGUCUGCUUCAUAUAAGGCAAAGACGGG
This 574-nucleotide long non-coding RNA is filed under the name Olea europaea subsp. europaea. The record is from RNAcentral. Lineage: Eukaryota; Viridiplantae; Streptophyta; Magnoliopsida; Lamiales; Oleaceae.